Molecule: ribosomal RNA, 405 nt
Filed under: uncultured bacterium
Lineage: Bacteria
Description: bacterial SSU rRNA
Rfam family: Bacterial small subunit ribosomal RNA
Source: RNAcentral
UGGGGAAUCUUGCACAAUGGGGGAAACCCUGAUGCAGCGACGCCGCGUGAGCGAUGAAGCCCUUCGGGGUGUAAAGCUCUUUCGGCAGGAACGAUCAUGACGGUACCUGCGGAAGAAGCUGCGGCUAACUACGUGCCAGCAGCCGCGGUAAUACGUAGGCAGCGAGCGUUGUUCGGAGUUACUGGGCGUAAAGGGUGUGUAGGCGGUGCUCUAAGUUCGGUGUGAAAUCUCCCGGCUCAACUGGGAGGGUGCGCCGAAUACUGGAGUGCUCGAGCGCGGGAGAGGAGAGCGGAAUUCCUGGUGUAGCGGUGAAAUGCGUAGAUAUCAGGAGGAACACCGGUGGUGAAGACGGCUCUCUGGACCGCUGCUGACGCUGAUACACGAAAGCGUGGGGAGCAAACAGGA